RNAcentral lists this small RNA (277 nucleotides) under Aotus nancymaae (Ma's night monkey). Its description in RNAcentral is "Metazoan signal recognition particle RNA (ENSANAG00000001862.1)". Lineage: Eukaryota; Metazoa; Chordata; Mammalia; Primates; Aotidae. The record is from RNAcentral.
GCCAGGUGCAGUGGCAUGCACCUGUAGCCCCAGGUAUGUGGGAGGCUGAGGCAGGAGGAUUAAAUGGGCUUGGAAGUUGUGGACUGUAGUGUGCUGUGUCAAUCAGGUGCUUUUUCUAGGUUUGGCAUCAAUACGGUGAACUUCUGGAGGCAAGGAACCACCAGAUUUUUUAAGUAAUGGUGAAGUGAACCAACACAGGUUGAAAAUAAAGCAGGUCAAGAUUCCCAUGCUGUAUCACUGCAUCCCAGCCUGGGCAACAUAGUAAGACCCUACCUCU